This 292-nucleotide ribosomal RNA is filed under the name uncultured bacterium. RNAcentral's name for it is "partial 16S ribosomal RNA". It matches the Rfam family "Bacterial small subunit ribosomal RNA", at positions 505 to 796 of the family's 1533-position model. The record is from RNAcentral.
GUGUCAGCCGCCGCGGUAAUACAGAGGGUGCAAACGUUGCUCGGAAUUAUUGGGCGUAAAGCGCGUGUAGGCGGCUUGUUAAGUUGGUCGUGAAAGCCCAUGGCUCAACCAUGGAAGUGCAACCAAAACUGGCAAGCUUGAGUUCUGAAGAGGAUGGCGGAAUUCCCAGUGUAGAGGUGAAAUUCGUAGAUAUUGGGAGGAACAUCGGUGGCGAAGGCGGCCAUCUGGGAAGAUACUGACGCUGAGACGCGAAAGCGUGGGUAGCAAACAGGAUUAGAAACCCCCGUAGUCC